This 380-nucleotide unclassified non-coding RNA is filed under the name soil metagenome. RNAcentral's name for it is "partial contains 5.8S ribosomal RNA, internal transcribed spacer 2, and large subunit ribosomal RNA". The stretch from base 1 to 120 matches the Rfam family "5.8S ribosomal RNA", at positions 35 to 154 of the family's 154-position model. The record is from RNAcentral.
GAUGAAGAACGUAGCGAAAUGCGAUAAGUAAUGUGAAUUGCAGAAUUCAGUGAAUCAUCGAAUCUUUGAACGCACCUUGCACCCUUUGGCAUUCUGAAGGGUAUGCUCGUUUGAGUGUGAUUGUACUCUCACACUCCCGAUCUUUGCAUUGGGAGCAGUGGACUUGGGUUUGCUGCUUCACCGUCGCUUACCUCAAAUAGGUUAGUGUAACUCUUGGUUGGACAUAGUACGGCGUGAUAAGUGUUCUUCGCCGGUGCCUCGCAAAGAGGGUGGCCGAUCGGGAUGUUGUGCUCCAAACCGUCUUCGGACAAUCUCUGACGACUUGACCUCAAAUCGAGUAAGACUACCCGCUGAACUUAAGCAUAUCAAUAAGCGGAGGA